ACUAAAUUCAAUUCUAAAAAUCCUAGAGGCAAUCGUUUGGUCCCCGGCAACGGCGCCAAAUUGAUU
This 66-nucleotide small RNA is filed under the name Arabidopsis thaliana (thale cress). Its description in RNAcentral is "ATSL162160". Lineage: Eukaryota; Viridiplantae; Streptophyta; Magnoliopsida; Brassicales; Brassicaceae. The record is from RNAcentral.